UGAUAGCGUUGAUGCGUAAGGUUGCUACUGGAUUUCAGUAGGUUUUUACGCGGAGCGAAUGUCAAGUUAUAAAACUGGCGACAA
RNAcentral lists this non-coding RNA (84 nucleotides) under unclassified sequences. RNAcentral's name for it is "S10-Clostridia ribosomal protein leader". It matches the Rfam family "S10-Clostridia ribosomal protein leader". The record is from RNAcentral.